This 459-nucleotide ribosomal RNA is filed under the name uncultured bacterium. RNAcentral's name for it is "partial 16S ribosomal RNA". It matches the Rfam family "Bacterial small subunit ribosomal RNA", at positions 338 to 795 of the family's 1533-position model. The record is from RNAcentral.
CCUACGGGAGGCUGCAGUGAGGAAUAUUGGUCAAUGGGCGGGAGCCUGAACCAGCCAAGCCGCGUGAUGGAAGAAGGUACAGCGUAUCGUAAACCUCUUUUGUCAGGGAACAAAGGCGGGGACUAGUCCCCGGAUGAGGGUACCUGAAGAAAAAGCAUCGGCUAACUCCGUGCCAGCCGCCGCGGUAAUACGGAGGAUGCGAGCGUUAUCCGGAUUUCUUGGGUUUAAGGGGUGCGCAGGGGGCCUGUUAAGUCAGCGGUAAAAGCACGGGGCUCAACCCAGGCGAGCCGUUGAAACUUGCGGGCUGGAGUUGGAGAGAAGUACGCGGAAUGCGCGGUGUAGCGGUGAAAUGCUUAGAUAUCGCGCAGAAUCCCGAUUGCGAAGGCAGCGUACCGGCUCCACACUGACGCUGAGGCACGAAAGCGUGGGUAUCGAACAGGAUUAGAUACCCCAGUAGUC